This is a non-coding RNA of Arachis ipaensis, 2588 nucleotides long. The record is from RefSeq and is a predicted model, not a curated record. NCBI's taxonomy places the organism in Eukaryota, Viridiplantae, Streptophyta, Magnoliopsida, Fabales, Fabaceae.
UUAUUAAAAUAUUUUUUAUAAAAAUUUACAAUUAAGAUAAUUGUGAAACAGAAAGACAAGACCCACCCCACCCCCUUUCUCUCACUCUCUCUGAGAAACCCAACCCUAAAUCCAGCCACCAUUACCAUCCUUCAUCGCCACCGUUUCCUGUAAUGGAAAGAUCCGCCACCGGUCACCAUCCUCCACCGAGCUCCUCGACGGCCAUACUGCCACCUCGCCAUCGUCUUCCUCCGUGGAGCUGCCAGAACUCAGAUUCGGAAGAAUGCUGUUGCGAUUGACGCACGAGUUGCCCUCCGACAAGACUUACCAGCUCCGCCGAGCGCUGAUGAUGGUGGCGGUUCCUUUGGUACUCAUCACGAUUGUGCUUUACGUGUUGCCUUCCAUUUCCUCCAACGAGUCCAUCGAAGACUACACCCUCACGCACCGCAGGAUUUCACCCGAUAACAGAGCCUCUAGCUUCUACGCCGUCUUCUUCGAUGUUGGCAGCCACAUUCACAUUCCACGUCGAUCGCAAUCUCGACCUUAUUCACAUUGGCAAAGAUCUCGAGCUAUUCAUUCAGAAUAGAGUUCAAAGCUCUUUGUUCAUUGGAGAUUGAUGAGAUUGUAAGAAAUUUAAGUAAGUAUAGAGAUAGCAGUUAAAACUCAGAUUCCUAUAAUCAGUUCAAAGCUCUUUGUUCAUUCUGGCUAGGUUCAAACUCUGCUGGCAUCUGAUAAUGCAGAACUGAAGGGGAUCAUGAAAUCACUUGUUGUGAUUGCUCGAAAUCAGGGCUGGAAGCAGCUGUUCUCAGGGCUCAGCAUCAAUUACAUAAAGGUUGUUUCAUCAGUGGCAAUUGGGUUUACUGUUUAUGAUACCAUGAAAUCAUACCUGAGAGUUCCAUCAAGAGAUGAUGCUGCAGUUGAAGUGGUAACCAAUAACAGAAUCAGCCAACCAUCAUCGCAGACACAGUAACAGCAACAGAUGAUGCUACCUUUCAGAAUUUUGCCUCUCUAACUCUUCAAUUCAUAGGCUUCAAAAAGGUUUCUUGGCCUCAUCCUAUUCACAUUUUUUAGCACCACAUGCCGUUCUUUCAAGUUGUACAUUGUGAGAUGGAGAUUAUGUUCCAUCAUAAACAGGAUACAGCAUGCAUUUCUCUACAGAUUGCAAGGGAAUGAAUGAUCCCUUCUGGCAGUUCUAAAAAGCUGCUGUUGAUUUUUCUUUCUUGUUGGUACUUGGUUCCAUCUAAAUUUAAUGCAUAUUGUGGCAAGAAACAAUGUUCAUUCAAGAUAAGUUGAUAUAAUGGAUCAAAUUUCAAAUGUUUCGUAUGUGACAUUUGUCUUUGCCUUUCUACAUUGAUAUGACUGGAAUUAAAAGAAAAUUGAAUUUUGAAACCUGAGAUUGAUAAAGCAGCUAUGAUCAUUGCAGAAGAGGAUGCUCAAUAGACUGCAAACACUAUUUGGUUGGAACAUACAUUUUAUAUUGCCAUAAAAUAACAUUUUAUAUUGAUUAGGUCACUUUUUGUUUAGGCAAAACAGAGGAUGUAUGGACUGACAAAGUGGUUGAGUCAGCUACAAAGGUAGUUGGUUCCUUCUUGUGUGAGAAUGGAAGCUUGUCAUCCACUUGUGGCAUGUCAAAUGACACCAAGUGAAAAUUAAUCAAAGGGACCUCUGGACUCAAUACAUAUGCAAGGCCUGUGGAGACAGGGUGCUAAGAGAAUUACAUGAAUGGGAACAACACAAAAAGGGUUAUGGCCACGGGAAAUGUAUUUCUAGUCUCAAGAGCAAGGCACAAAAUCUUGGUACCUUGGACAAAAUGUUUAAUUACUAUGAAUGCAAAUAGUUUUAUGUAUUGUACUUUGCAACCUGCUCCAGUUUUGAAACAUAUUCAUAGUAAUAUUACCACUGAAUGACUAAUAGCAUUUCAGUAUGUUUCUUUUUGUUUCAUUUGUCAAGACCAUCGCAAAAAUCUAAAGAAAAUACACACGACUCAUUGAUUUUGUUCAUAAUCACCUACGAAUGAGAUAUUGAGAUUUGUGGUUCUUGUUUACUUUAUCCUUUCAUUGUUUUCAUAAACAAAAUGAUAAGCAGCACGUGCAUGUUCGAAACAUUGACUAUUGAGGGUACCACUGUACCAGUCUUUCAGUACCUUGUCUUGUGAACUCAAAUUAUUAUGAACAAUGCACUUAUUCUCCUUAUACAUAACAAUAAUAAUUGUUGGAAAAAAUUAUUGAGAUUCUAAAAAAAAAAGAUAGUUCCUGACUUCUAAGAAAAUGAGUAUAAUAUAACUAAACAAAGUUUUAAGAUUUUAGCGGCAAUAGUAAUGGGCAGUAAAAGUGAAUAACAUUACAAUUUUAAAAUUAUUUUUAGUGGUCAUAUAAAUUGCCGGUAAAAUAGUUUUUGGCGGCAAUAGUAAUGGCCGCUAAAAAUGAAUAACAUUGCAAUUUUAGAAUUACCUUUGGUGACCAUAUAAAUUGCCAAAAAAAUGGCCGCUAAAAAUUAUAUACUUUUUGCGGCCAUUAAAAAAGUCUUUACCGGCAAAUGUUAUAAUUGCCGCUAAAACCUUUUAGCGGCAAAGCAUAAGACGGCUAAUGUCUAUUUGCCGGUAAAUUUAG